Microcebus murinus (gray mouse lemur) is the source of this 102-nucleotide unclassified non-coding RNA. It matches the Rfam family "Y RNA". Rfam says of the family: Y RNAs are components of the Ro ribonucleoprotein particle (Ro RNP), in association with Ro60 and La proteins. The Y RNAs and Ro60 and La proteins are well conserved, but the function of the Ro RNP is not known. The record is from Ensembl. NCBI's taxonomy places the organism in Eukaryota, Metazoa, Chordata, Mammalia, Primates, Cheirogaleidae.
GGUUGGUCCAAGUGCAGUGCUGUUUGCAAUUAAUUGAUCACAACCAGUUACAGAUUGCUUUGUUCCUUCUCCACUCUCACUGCUUCACUAGACCAGCCUUUA